Molecule: ribosomal RNA, 2068 nt
Filed under: marine metagenome
Description: bacterial LSU rRNA
Rfam family: Bacterial large subunit ribosomal RNA
Source: RNAcentral
AGGGCAUUUGGUGGAUGCCUUGGCGUUGAGAGGCGAUGAAGGACGUGACACGCUGCGAUAAGCCAUGGGGAGCUGCGAGUAAGCUUUGAUCCGUGGAUUUCCGAAUGGGGAAACCCGACCAUUUAGGUCAUCCCGCAAGGGAAGCGAACCCGGGGAACUGAAAUAUCUAAGUACCCGGAGGAAAGGACAUCAACCGAGACUCCGUUAGUAGUGACGAGCGAACGCGGACCAGGCCAGUGGCCUGUUAGAAGACAACCAGAAGCGUCUGGAAAGGCGCGCCAUAGUGGGUGAUAGCCCCGUAUGGGUAAUGCUUCUUUCAGGUCCUUGAGUAGGGCGGGACACGUGAAAUCCUGUCUGAACAUGGGGGGACCACCCUCCAAGCCUAAGUACUCCUCAACGACCGAUAGCGAACCAGUACCGUGAGGGAAAGGUGAAAAGCACCCCGAUGAGGGGAGUGAAAUAGACCUGAAACCGAAUGCCUACAAUCAGUCGGAGCCACAUUACGUGGUGACGGCGUACCUUUUGUAUAAUGGGUCAGCGAGUUACUUUGACGUGCAAGCCUAAACCGUUAGGUGUAAGCGAAGCGAAAGCGAGUCUGAAUAGGGCGAUUUAGUACGUUUGAGUAGACCCGAAACCGGGUGAUCUAGCCAUGGGCAGGUUGAAGAUACGGUAACACGUAUUGGAGGACCGAACCCACUUCUGUUGAAAAAGGAGGGGAUGACCUGUGGCUAGGGGUGAAAGGCCAAUCAAACCCGGAGAUAGCUGGUUCUCUGCGAAAACUAUUUAGGUAGUGCGUCAUGUAUUACUGUCGGGGGUAGAGCACUGGAUGGGCUAGGGGGGCGCGAGCCUUACCAAACCUAACCAAACUCCGAAUACCGACAAGUACAGCAUGGCAGACAGACUAUGGGUGCUAAGGUCCAUAGUCGAGAGGGAAACAGCCCAGACCUCCAGCUAAGGUCCCUAAAUUGUGGCUAAGUGGGAAAGGAUGUGGGAAGGCCAAGACAGCCAGGAGGUUGGCUUAGAAGCAGCCAUCCUUUAAAGAAAGCGUAACAGCUCACUGGUCUAGUUAAGCCGGCCUGCGCCGAAGAUGUAACGGGGCUAAAGCCAUACACCGAAGCUGUGGAUGCCGUAAGGCAUGGUAGCGGAGCGUUCUGUAAGCCGCUGAAGGUAACACGUGAGUGUUAUUGGAGGUAUCAGAAGUGAGAAUGCUGACAUGAGUAGCGAUAAAGAGUGUGAGAAACACUCUCGCCGUAAGCCCAAGGGUUCCUGCGCAAGGCUAAUCCGCGCAGGGUGAGUCGGCCCCUAAGACGAGGGCGAAAGCCGUAGUCGAUGGGAACACGGUUAAUAUUCCGUGACCUGAUGGUAGUGACGGAUGACGUAAGUUGUACAUGCUUAUCGGAUUGUGUGUGCAGCGAAGUUGUCCCAGGAAAUAGCUCCAUCAUUAAGACCGUACCCGAAACCGACACAGGUGGGCAGGUUGAGUAUACCAAGGCGCUUGAGAGAACGAUGUUGAAGGAACUCGGCAAAAUGCCCCCGUAACUUCGGGAUAAGGGGGACCUCUGUUUGGGCAACCAGACAGGGGUGGCACAGAAUAGGGGGUGGCGACUGUUUAUUAAAAACACAGGGCUCUGCGAAGUAGUUAAUACGACGUAUAGGGUCUGACGCCUGCCCGGUGCUGGAAGGUUAAGAGGAGGUGUGAGAGCUCCGAAUUGAAGCCCCAGUAAACGGCGGCCGUAACUAUAACGGUCCUAAGGUAGCGAAAUUCCUUGUCGGGUAAGUUCCGACCUGCACGAAUGGCGUAACGACUUCCCCGCUGUCUCCAACAUCGACUCAGCGAAAUUGAAUUCUCCGUGAAGAUGCGGAGUUCCCGCGGUCAGACGGAAAGACCCCGUGCACCUUUACUACAACUUUACAGUGGCAUCAGAAUGUAGAUGUGCAGGAUAGGUGGGAACCUUUGAAGCCGUAGCGCCAGCCGCGGUGGAGGUAACCUUGAGAUACCACCCUUCUGCGUUUUGUUGUCUAACCGCGGCCAGUGAAGCCUGGUCCGGGACCCUGUAUGGUGGGUAGU